CAGACGGGUGAGUAACGCGUAGGGAAUCUACCUUUUAGUGGGGAAUAACGCUCCGAAUGGAGUGGUAAUACCGCAUGAGACCACCUUCUGGGAUGAGGGUGGUGAAACCUGGGGACCGCAAGGCCUGGGGCUAGAAGAGGAUCCUGCUUCUGAUUAGCUAGUUGGCGGGGUAAUGGUCCACCACCGUGACGAUCUGUAGUCGGCCUGAGAGGGUGAUCGGCCUCACUGGAAGUGAGACACGGUCCAGACUCUUACGGGAGGCAGCAGUGGGGAAUUUUGCGCAAUGGAAGUAAGUCUGACGCAGCAACGCCCCGUGGGUGAUGAAGGUCUUCGGACUGUAAAACCCUGUCGUCAGGGACGAAGGUUGAGGGGUUAAUAACCCUUUAUCUUGACGGUACCUGCAUAGGAAGCCCCGGAUAUUUCUGUGCCAGCAGCCUCGGUAAUACAGAGGGGGCAAGCGUUAUUCGGAAUUAUUGGGUGUAAAGGGUUCGUAGGCGGUUUUUUAAGUCAGAUGUGUAAUCCCCGAGCUUAACUUGGGAACUGUAUUUGUGUCAGGAAGGCUAGAGUUCGUGAGAGGGUGGUGGAAUUCCUUGUGUAGCGGUGAAAUGGGUAGUGAUGAGGAGGAACACCAGUGGCGAAGGCGGUCACCUGGACAGUAACUGACGAUGAGGCGCGAAAGUGUGGGUAGCAAACAGGAUUAUAUACCCUGGUAGUCCACGCUGUAAACGAUGAACACUUGGUGUGGAGGGAGUUGACCCCUUCCGUGCUGGAGCUAACGCGUUAAGUGUUCCGCCUGGGGAG
RNAcentral lists this ribosomal RNA (801 nucleotides) under uncultured bacterium. Its description in RNAcentral is "bacterial SSU rRNA". It matches the Rfam family "Bacterial small subunit ribosomal RNA", at positions 99 to 880 of the family's 1533-position model. The record is from RNAcentral.